CUCAGAUUGAACGCUGGCGGCAGGCCUAACACAUGCAAGUCGAACGGUAACAGGAAGCAGCUUGCUGCUUUGCUGACGAGUGGCGGACGGGUGAGUAAUGUCUGGGAAACUGCCUGAUGGAGGGGGAUAACUACUGGAAACGGUGGCUAAUACCGCAUAACGUCGCAAGACCAAAGAGGGGGACCUUCGGGCCUCUUGCCAUCAGAUGUGCCCAGAUGGGAUUAGCUUGUUGGUGAGGUAACGGCUCACCAAGGCGACGAUCCCUAGCUGGUCUGAGAGGAUGACCAGCCACACUGGAACUGAGACACGGUCCAGACUCCUACGGGAGGCAGCAGUGGGGAAUAUUGCACAAUGGGCGCAAGCCUGAUGCAGCCAUGCCGCGUGUAUGAAGAAGGCCUUCGGGUUGUAAAGUACUUUCAGCGGGGAGGAAGGUGUUGUGGUUAAUAACCGCAGCAAUUGACGUUACCCGCAGAAGAAGCACCGGCUAACUCCGUGCCAGCAGCCGCGGUAAUACGGAGGGUGCAAGCGUUAAUCGGAAUUACUGGGCGUAAAGCGCACGCAGGCGGUCUGUCAAGUCGGAUGUGAAAUCCCCGGGCUCAACCUGGGAACUGCAUUCGAAACUGGCAGGCUUGAGUCUUGUAGAGGGGGGUAGAAUUCCAGGUGUAGCGGUGAAAUGCGUAGAGAUCUGGAGGAAUACCGGUGGCGAAGGCGGCCCCCUGGACAAAGACUGACGCUCAGGUGCGAAAGCGUGGGGAGCAAACAGGAUUAGAUACCCUGGUAGUCCACGCCGUAAACGAUGUCUACUUGGAGGUUGUGCCCUUGAGGCGUGGCUUCCGGAGCUAACGCGUUAAGUAGACCGCCUGGGGAGUACGGCCGCAAGGUUAAAACUCAAAUGAAUUGACGGGGGCCCGCACAAGCGGUGGAGCAUGUGGUUUAAUUCGAUGCAACGCGAAGAACCUUACCUGGUCUUGACAUCCACAGAACUUUCCAGAGAUGGAUUGGUGCCUUCGGGAACUGUGAGACAGGUGCUGCAUGGCUGUCGUCAGCUCGUGUUGUGAAAUGUUGGGUUAAGUCCCGCAACGAGCGCAACCCUUAUCCUUUGUUGCCAGCGGUCCGGCCGGGAACUCAAAGGAGACUGCCAGUGAUAAACUGGAGGAAGGUGGGGAUGACGUCAAGUCAUCAUGGCCCUUACGACCAGGGCUACACACGUGCUACAAUGGCGCAUACAAAGAGAAGCGACCUCGCGAGAGCAAGCGGACCUCAUAAAGUGCGUCGUAGUCCGGAUUGGAGUCUGCAACUCGACUCCAUGAAGUCGGAAUCGCUAGUAAUCGUGGAUCAGAAUGCCACGGUGAAUACGUUCCCGGGCCUUGUACACACCGCCCGUCACACCAUGGGAGUGGGUUGCAAAAGAAGUAGGUAGCUUAACCUUCGGGAGGGCGCUUACCACUUUGUGAUUCAUGACUGGGGUGAAUCUA
RNAcentral lists this ribosomal RNA (1475 nucleotides) under Salmonella enterica subsp. enterica serovar Typhi. RNAcentral describes it as "bacterial SSU rRNA". It matches the Rfam family "Bacterial small subunit ribosomal RNA". Lineage: Bacteria; Pseudomonadati; Pseudomonadota; Gammaproteobacteria; Enterobacterales; Enterobacteriaceae. The record is from RNAcentral.